This 453-nucleotide ribosomal RNA is filed under the name uncultured Paludibacter sp. Its description in RNAcentral is "partial 16S ribosomal RNA". It matches the Rfam family "Bacterial small subunit ribosomal RNA", at positions 341 to 792 of the family's 1533-position model. The record is from RNAcentral. Lineage: Bacteria; Pseudomonadati; Bacteroidota; Bacteroidia; Bacteroidales; Paludibacteraceae.
ACGGAAGGCAGCAGUGAGGAAUAUUGGUCAAUGGGCGGAAGCCUGAACCAGCCAAGUCGCGUGAAGGAUGAAGGUAUUAUGUAUUGUAAACUUCUUUAGCAGUGGAGUAAUAAGGGGAUCGCGAUCCCUGAUGCAAGUACACUGAGAAUAAGGAUCGGCUAACUCCGUGCCAGCAGCCGCGGUAAUACGGAGGAUCCGAGCGUUAUCCGGAUUUAUUGGGUUUAAAGGGUGCGCAGGCGGCUUUUUAAGUCAGUGGUUAAAUCGUGACGCUCAACGUCAUCACGCCAUUGAUACUGGAGAGCUUGAUUGCGGUCGAGGUUUGCGGAAUUCGUUGUGUAGCGGUGAAAUGCAUAGAUAUGACGAAGAACACCGAUUGCGUAGGCAGCAGACCAGGACGUAAAUGACGCUCAUGCACGAAAGUGCGGGGAUCGAACAGGAUUAGAUACCCUGGUA